Molecule: long non-coding RNA, 858 nt
Filed under: Homo sapiens (human)
Lineage: Eukaryota; Metazoa; Chordata; Mammalia; Primates; Hominidae
Description: HSALNT0350034
Rfam family: Pvt1 oncogene conserved region 5 (bases 202-331)
Source: RNAcentral
GAGUAGCUGGUAUUACAGGCGUGUGCCACAAAGCCUGGCUAAGUUUUGUAUUUUUAGUAGAGACGGGGUUUCACCAUGUUGGCCAGGUUGGUCUCGAACUCCUGACCUCAAGUGAUCCACUCACUUUGGCCUUUCAACGUGCUGGGAUUACAGGCGAGAGUCACCGCACCCGGACGACUCUGACAUUUUUGAAGAGUCCAGAAUCCUGUUACACCUGGGAUUUAGGCACUUUCAAUCUGAAAAAAUACAUAUCCUUUCAGCACUCUGGACGGACUUGAGAACUGUCCUUACGUGACCUAAAGCUGGAGUAUUUUGAGAUUGGAGAAUUAAGAGCCAGUCUUGGUGCUCUGUGUUCACCUGGUUCAUCUGAGGAGCUGCAUCUACCCUGCCCAUGCCAUAGAUCCUGCCCUGUUUGCUUCUCCUGUUGCUGCUAGUGGACAUGAGAAGGACAGAAUAACGGGCUCCCAGAUUCACAAGCCCCACCAAGAGGAUCACCCCAGGAACGCUUGGAGGCUGAGGAGUUCACUGAGGCUACUGCAUCUUGAGACUCAGGAUGAAGACCCAGCUUGGGGCUGUCAAAGGUUUUUUGCAUGUCUGACACCCAUGACUCCACCUGGACCUUAUGGCUCCACCCAGAAGCAAUUCAGCCCAACAGGAGGACAGCUUCAACCCAUUACGAUUUCAUCUCUGCCCCAACCACUCAGCAGCAAGCACCUGUUACCUGUCCACCCCCACCCCUUCCCCCAAACUGCCUUUGAAAAAUCCCUAACCUAUGAGCUUUGAAUAAGAUGAGUACGAACUUCAUCGCCCACGUGGCGUGGCCGGCCUCGUGUCUAUUAAAUUCUUUUUCUACUACAA